UACGGAGGGUGCAAACGUUGCUCGGAAUUAUUGGGCGUAAAGCGCACGUAGGCGGACUAUCAAGUCGGAUGUGAAAUCCCUCGGCUUAACCGAGGACGUGCAUUCGAUACUGAUGGCCUUGAGUACGAAAGAGGAUCGCGGAAUUCCCGGUGUAGAGGUGAAAUUCGUAGAUAUCGGGAGGAACACCAGUGGCGAAGGCGGCGAUCUGGGUCGAUACUGACGCUGAGGUGCGAAAGCGUGGGGAGCAAACAGG
This 253-nucleotide ribosomal RNA is filed under the name uncultured bacterium. RNAcentral's name for it is "partial 16S ribosomal RNA". It matches the Rfam family "Bacterial small subunit ribosomal RNA", at positions 524 to 776 of the family's 1533-position model. The record is from RNAcentral.